RNAcentral lists this unclassified non-coding RNA (223 nucleotides) under plant metagenome. RNAcentral describes it as "partial contains small subunit ribosomal RNA, internal transcribed spacer 1, and 5.8S ribosomal RNA". The record is from RNAcentral.
UUUCCGUAGGUGAACCUGCGGAAGGAUCAUUAUCAUGUAAUUCAGUCCCCUUGGCUGUGUUAUAUAUAUACCCACUCUGUGUACCUUCUCCUGUUGCUUCCGCUGGGUGUGUAAUUCGCCCGGCGGAAGGGUAAAAACAACCUCUGAGUAUUGAUGAAAUCUCUGUCUGAACCGAAUAGAAAGAAAAAUGUUAAAACUUUCAGCAACGGAUCUCUUGGUUCUC